CUUGACCUCAAAUCAGGUAGGACUACCCGCUGAACUUAAGCAUAUCAAUAAGCGGAGGAAAAGAAACUAACAAGGAUUCCCCUAGUAACUGCGAGUGAAGCGGGAAAAGCUCAAAUUUAAAAUCUGGUAGUUCUUGUAGCUGCCCGAGUUGUAAUUUAGAGAAGUGUUAUCCGUGCUGGACCGUGUACAAGUCUCCUGGAACGGAGCGUCAUAGAGGGUGAGAAUCCCGUACAUGACACGGACUACCAGUGCAUUGUGAUGCGCUCUCAAAGAGUCGAGUUGUUUGGGAAUGCAGCUCAAAAUGGGUGGUAAAUUCCAUCUAAAGCUAAAUAUAGGCGAGAGACCGAUAGCGAACAAGUACCGUGAGGGAAAGAUGAAAAGAACUUUGGAAAGAGAGUUAAACAGUACGUGAAAUUGUUGAAAGGGAAACGCUUGAAGUCAGUCGCGUCGUUCAGGGAUCAGCCUUGCUCUGCUUGGUGUACUUCCUGUUCGACGGGUCAGCAUCAGUUUCGGUCGUCGGAAAAAGUGCGCAGGAAUGUGACAUCUUCGGAUGUGUUAUAGCCUGUGUUCGUAUACGGCGGCUGGGACUGAGGACUCAGCACUAGUUGCUUGGGAUGCUGGCAAAAUGGCUUUAAGCGACCCGUCUUGAAACACGGACCAAGGAGUCUAACAUGCCCGCGAGUGUUUGGGUGGAAAACCCGAGCGCGUAAUGAAAGUGAAAAGUUGGGAUCUCUGUCGUGGAGAGCACCGACGCCCGGACCAGAUGUUUUCGGACGGUUCUGCGGUAGAGCGUGUAUGUUGGGACCCGAAAGAUGGUGAACUAUGCCUGAAUAGGGCGAAGCCAGAGGAAACUCUGGUGGAGGCUCGUAGCGAUUCUGACGUGCAAAUCGAUCGUCGAAUUUGGGUAUAGGGCGAAAGACUAAUCGACCAUCUAGUAGCUG
RNAcentral lists this ribosomal RNA (941 nucleotides) under Coronicium alboglaucum. RNAcentral's name for it is "eukaryotic LSU rRNA". It matches the Rfam family "Eukaryotic large subunit ribosomal RNA", at positions 1 to 953 of the family's 3401-position model. The record is from RNAcentral. Lineage: Eukaryota; Fungi; Basidiomycota; Agaricomycetes; Agaricales; Pterulaceae.